AAAUCCGGUUGAUCCUGCCGGAGGCUACCGCUAUUGGAGUUCGAUUAAGCCAUGCGAGUCUAGAGGCCUAGCCUCGGCGUAC
Molecule: ribosomal RNA, 82 nt
Filed under: Methanobacteriota archaeon
Lineage: Archaea; Methanobacteriati; Methanobacteriota
Description: Euryarchaeota archaeon partial 16S ribosomal RNA
Rfam family: Archaeal small subunit ribosomal RNA
Source: RNAcentral